This 555-nucleotide ribosomal RNA is filed under the name uncultured haloarchaeon. Its description in RNAcentral is "bacterial SSU rRNA". It matches the Rfam family "Archaeal small subunit ribosomal RNA", at positions 332 to 886 of the family's 1478-position model. Lineage: Archaea; Methanobacteriati; Methanobacteriota; Halobacteria; Halobacteriales; Halobacteriaceae. The record is from RNAcentral.
GCAGCAGGCGCGAAACCUUUACACUGCACGCCAGUGCGAUAAGGGGACUCCGAGUGCGAGGGCAUAUCGCCCUCGCUUUUCACGACCGUAGGAUGGUCGUGGAACAAGCGCUGGGCAAGACCGGUGCCAGCCGCCGCGGUAAUACCGGCAGCGCAAGUGACGGCCGAUUUUAUUGGGCCUAAAGCGUCCGUAGCUGGCCAGGCAAGUCCAUCGGGAAAUCCACCCGCUCAACGGGUGGACGGCCGGCGGAACCUGCCAGGCUUGGGACCGGAAGACCCAACGGGUACGUCCAGGGUAGGAGUGAAAUCCCGUAAUCCUGGACGGACCGCCGAUGGCGAAAGCACGUUGGGAAGACGGAUCCGACAGUGAGGGACGAAAGCUAGGGUCUCGAACCGGAUUAGAUACCCGGGUAGUCCUAGCCGUAAACGAUGCUCGCUAGGUGUGGCACAGGCUACGCGCCUGUGCUGUGCCGUAGGGAAGCCGCUAAGCGGGCCGCCUGGGAAGUACGUCCGCAAGGAUGAAACUUAAAGGAAUUGGCGGGGGAGCACUACAACC